UACGUAGGGUGCAAGCGUUGUCCGGAAUUAUUGGGCGUAAAGAGCUCGUAGGCGGUUUGUCGCGUCUGCUGUGAAAACUCGGGGCUUAACCCCGGGCCUGCAGUGGAUACGGGCAGGCUGGAGGCAGGCAGGGGAGAACGGAAUUACCGGUGUAGCGGUGAAAUGCGCAGAUAUCGGGAGGAACACCGGUGGCGAAGGCGGUUCUCUGGGCCUGUACUGACGCUGAGGAGCGAAAAGCGUGGGGAGCAAACAGG
RNAcentral lists this ribosomal RNA (254 nucleotides) under uncultured bacterium. RNAcentral describes it as "partial 16S ribosomal RNA". It matches the Rfam family "Bacterial small subunit ribosomal RNA", at positions 524 to 776 of the family's 1533-position model. The record is from RNAcentral.